CCUACGGGUGGCAGCAGUGGGGAAUAUUGCACAAUGGGGGAAACCCUGAUGCAGCGACGCCGCGUGAGUGAAGAAGUAUUUCGGUAUGUAAAGCUCUAUCAGCAGGGAAGAAGCAAGACGGUACCUGCCUAAGAAGCCCCGGCUAACUACGUGCCAGCAGCCGCGGGAAUACGUAGGGGGCAAGCGUUAUCCGGAUUUACUGGGUGUAAAGGGAGCGUAGACGGUAUGGCAAGUCUGAAGUGAAAGGCGGGGGCUCAACCCCCGGACUGCUCUGGAAACUGUACGGCUGGAGUGCAGGAGAGGUAAGUGGAAUUCCUAGUGUAGCGGUGAAAUGCGUAGAUAUUAGGAGGAACACCAGUGGCGAAGGCGGCUUACUGGACUGUAACUGACGUUGAGGCUCGAAAGCGUGGGGAGCAAACAGGAUUAGAUACCCGAGUAGUC
This 441-nucleotide ribosomal RNA is filed under the name uncultured bacterium. RNAcentral describes it as "partial 16S ribosomal RNA". It matches the Rfam family "Bacterial small subunit ribosomal RNA", at positions 338 to 795 of the family's 1533-position model. The record is from RNAcentral.